GAUACUGCGCCGGAAUGAACGGAUUAUAUUGAUGUUAUAAACUAUAAGAUUUUUUCUUCUGUAUCU
RNAcentral lists this transfer RNA (66 nucleotides) under Sepia officinalis (common cuttlefish). RNAcentral describes it as "tRNA-Ile". The record is from RNAcentral. Lineage: Eukaryota; Metazoa; Mollusca; Cephalopoda; Sepiida; Sepiidae.